This 644-nucleotide unclassified non-coding RNA is filed under the name Hevea brasiliensis (rubber tree). Lineage: Eukaryota; Viridiplantae; Streptophyta; Magnoliopsida; Malpighiales; Euphorbiaceae. The record is from RNAcentral.
GGAGAAAAAAAAAAGGGAGAGUUGGACCAAAACUGACAUUGGCAAAAAUACUCGGACUCGCUUAAUAUUGCGUCUUUGUUGUAACUUGUAAGGAAACAACUGUUGGGUGGUAAAGAAAUAUGUGCACAAAAUUAGCAUGACAAAGAUGAUGAUGCUACGAGAGAAAGAAAUAAAGAGACUGGACAAGGUAUAACCAUAUAAUUGCAUUUAUAGAAAGGUAGAAUUGUGCCCACAAACAAUGAGCUAAGAGUCGAUUGAGAUGGAUUGGAAAUGUUCCUCAUAGAACAACCUAUGUACUACUAUAGAAUGUUGAGCAUAUUGAAGUUGCAAACGGGCGAAAGACAUGAAAAAGAUUUCAAAUAAUGUGUUGUAGUGAAUUAGAGAGAAAAGGGCUUGGCUGGCAGCUAUAAACCUAUGGUAAACAAAUAAAGUAUGAGAAAAUCCAUUUAACCAAUUGCAACUAGCUAAAGAUUGAGGCUGUUAUGGAUGCAUUUACGAGCAAGACUUACGGAAGACAUGAUCCACAAGAGAUUCCAGUCAAGUCAAUAGUAAUAAGAAUGACAACAAAUAAAUUAGCAUUAAAGGUGGAUUCAGCAGUAGUAACAACUAAUUAUUAGCUGAAGAUAUUACUCUAAUUGUCAUUA